GAGUUGACAGAUAUUUUUCAGUUUCUGUUCAUUAGAUACUUGUGUUUACUGAAUCAAGAUUGUUGCUGAAUCUUUUCCUGUUUAAUCCGUUAUUAUUGUUGGCUAUCUGUUUUUUUUUGUUGUUUGUAUCUAUACCGUUGAACUUUUUGUUACAUUACUUCUCGUCAAUUUUGUCUUAUAGUUUUCGUUUUUGUUUUCGUUUCAUUGAAAAAAUUUUUAUCUUCGUUUGCUUUUUCCAUUACUUUUUUUCGCUUUUUUUCUUUUAUUUAAACUCUGGUUUCUGGGUGAUAUUUAAAAAUUAGUUUUUCUCAAGUUAUCUUCUUAAGUUGAUCAUGAUGAAGCAAGGAUCUCUUUUAAAAUGGACUUCUUCCAACGGUAAUAAAUGGUCCAAAAAUCACGGUAAACCAAACUGGAUUCAUCCACCCGACGCAUUGCAACGCGGUCAUGUUGCCUAUCUUGUCAAAUUUUUAGGUAAAACAGAAGUAGAUCAACCAAAAGGCAUUGACGUUGUUAAAGAAGGAAUCCGUAAGAUGAAAUUUAGUCAACAUCUACGGCGAGCUGAAGGAACUAAAACACCCAAGGUUGAGUUGACCAUUUCUGUGGAUGGAGUUGCCAUUCAGGAUCCCAAGAGUAAAAAAAUAUCCUUCCAAUAUCCUCUUCAUCGAAUCUCUUACUGUGCUGAUGAUAAAUCGGAUCCAAAGUUUUUCAGUUUCAUUGCUAAAGAAGCUGAAUCUGAUCGUCACAGUUGUUUUGUUUUUGUAUCUGACAAAUUAUCAGAGGAGAUAACGUUAACUAUUGGCCAAGCCUUUGAAUUGGCCUAUCGUAGGUUCCUUGAAACAUCUGGACGUGAUUUAGAGAUGCGUAAACAAAUAAUGGUGCUUCAUAAAAAAGUCCAGGAACUGGAAGCUGAAAACAGAACGUUAAAAAAUCGUUUAGCUAAUUAUGAAAAUAAGUCGAGAUCAUCAAUGAAAUCAUCUGGUUCUGGUCGUUCAUCCGUUUUAACAAAUGGCUCUGAGAUAAAUAAACUACAGCCACUUCAACCACCACCGCCUGUUCAAAGAAUAGCAAAUCGAAGUCAUCAUCAACAGGCAACCAUCAAUUUGUUAGAUAUUGAUGAUCAACCAACCGUUGGUCGUAAGCUAGAAAAUUUAAGCCUUGAUGAUCAAACAUUUGAUCCAAGGUCUUAUGAGGAAAUUAAAGUGAAUAGUACGACGACGUCAACAACAACAAAACCCUUAAUAGGCUCAUCUUUAACAUCAUCUUCAAUCAACUCAUCGAAUUCAUCUGUAUCUUCUUUAUCCUCAUCUUCCCCGCCAUCAUCAAUUAGCACAACAUCAAAUCAACCACUAUCAGUGUCAUCAUUAUCUGCAACAACAUCAGUACCACCGACAACAACAACAAAUUCAAAAAUGACAACGAUAAACAGUAACGGUCCAGUAAACAGUUACCCAGUUAACGGUCAUGUCAAUAACCUGGGUCAUACCAAUGGAACUGGUAUUGGUCAUAAUCAAGAUAAUACAACUAAUGAAGCUAAAGAUAUAUUUGGAUUUGAACCUUUUGAUCCGGAAGCCAAUAAAACCAAUGGUUCUGAUCCAUUUGGAAUGGGCUCUUUUGAGGCCAAACAAUUAGAACAAGCAAUUGGCGAUAUUGACAAGAAACUUGCUGAAAUGAGAGAUGGAUUCAGUCGCGGUCUAUCUUUUGGUUAUGUUGACUUCUCAAUGGAAACCUCGGAUCCACUAAAUUGAUCAACUGUUCCUUCAUGGGAUACUCAAGCGAUGAAUGAUCCAUUUUAGCGAUGAAUUUUCAUUGCUUUGAACCACAGGAUGAAGCCAAAAAUGCAUAUAAGUUGAAAGUUAAAGCCAAUCAUUGAUUCCCGUUGUUGAUGAUUUUAAUUAUGACAAAUGGCCCAACCAAAUGACAACUAUACAAAGAAACAGAUUUUAAAUAUUCAGUUACAAAUGACAAAAUUAUAAAUAUUAUACAUAAAUUUAUUGAAAUUAUUGCCGAUGAUUUUAUACCAGCAAAUGCAAAUUGAAUACAGUUUGGUACUCAAUAUUCAAUGGAUACAAACCCUCAUCACUUUGAUCAUCAUCGUCUUCAUUAUGUUCAUUGACCUGGACUAGGAAUUGAUUGCGACUGGCAAAUGAGCAAUUUAAAAGUGGAUUGUUAACUUUGUUUAUGAUAUUGGGAUUCAAUUUGAAAGUUGGAUCGGUUAAACAGCUAUUUAUAUUGUUCCUCACAUGUUAACUCAAGGUUCUCGUUUCCAUUUAAUCGGCUAAAUUGGUUACAAUUAAAUUAUUCCAUGAGACAUUCUGUAAACAUUAGGAAGAAACUCAAAUUCAAACCUUAAAGAGUGAAAGCUGUUUCACAGUUGUAUUUACACAGAACCGGAAAGCAAAUACUUUGAAUUUUUAUCCAGUGAGACUUGAAUCAAUGUCUUUUUUGCUUGUCAACUUGGUUAACAGACAAAGUUUACUGUGAUAAUAAGCUUGACUGGCGAGACUAAUGAAAACAAUAAUGAAAUGAUCGUCAAAAAACCAUUAUAUUCUUGUACUAUUAGUACUGGUGAAAUUUAAAUUACAUCAGCUUUGGUGACUUUUUUCCUGUUCAUUGUAGAUACCAAAUUCAAUUGCUUCCUCUUUUGUUAUUAUUCCUGUCGUUUUUCACCUUCUCUAGACAAUUGGAUCAUCAAUAGUCUCUCCUAAUUAAUCAGUCUGUUUAAUUUAAAACAAAACAGUCAAAUGUGCAGACAAAUGCCUCAAAAGCGUAUUGUAAAGCUGAAAUUUAAUUAUUUUGAAAAUAGUCUAAAAAGCGAAACAAAAGACUGCUUGAAAUCGAGAUUAUCAGCUUGAAAAUUGGCUCGUAAAAGUCAAUACAAUUGUGACCUUUUAAACCUUUGAUCAAGCUUAGAUUUACGUUAUUAGUUACUGUCAGUAGAUUUCAUUUCAAUUAUUUUCUAUGUUUUUUGCGUCACUAAUUCAAUGUUUUAUAUCUUUAACCAUCAAAAUGAUUGUCUAAUAAGCUCAAUGGACAUAAUUAAAUGUAUUAUUGAUGAAUUGGUUAAA
RNA transcript from Tetranychus urticae (two-spotted spider mite), 3065 nucleotides. RefSeq lists it as uncharacterized. NCBI's taxonomy places the organism in Eukaryota, Metazoa, Arthropoda, Arachnida, Trombidiformes, Tetranychidae. The record is from RefSeq and is a predicted model, not a curated record.